This is a long non-coding RNA of Zalophus californianus (California sea lion), 1785 nucleotides long. RefSeq lists it as uncharacterized. The transcript is spliced from 4 exons. Lineage: Eukaryota; Metazoa; Chordata; Mammalia; Carnivora; Otariidae. The record is from RefSeq and is a predicted model, not a curated record.
AUCCCCCACCCAAGAGCGCAGCCUGGAGCGGCGGGCGGCAGGGCGGCCGGGCGCGCGCUGGGGGCGAGAAGGUGAAGGAGGGCUGGGGGGACACUGGAGCGCCCGGCGCUGCCUCCACACCCCACUGCGCUGCAUUUUCUCCACCACGUGGAAGAAUCUCGUGCGGGUGGCGCCCACGGGAGGCGGGGGUCCGGGUGCCCCCCGGCCCGGACGCCGCUCCUCAGCCCCCUCCCCCGCGCGGGGCCGGGCAGUCGGCUCCCAGAAACCCAUUAGUCUUCCUCAGCGGUUGUCAAAACUUGCUGGCGGUUUUUGCUCACCUUUCCCGUUUCCCCUUUAAAAGGGAAUGAAGAGGAAGGUUACCAUGGCUUGAGAGGAGGUUCAAGGAGAAUGGAGAAUGAAACAUUCUGGAAUGCUUUUAUCCUAAUAAAACUCCCCCAAAGAAUUUGCCGUUUUUCCCUCUGCUCAAUAGCCAGGAUCUGGUUUCAGACCUGCCAGCGUAUUCCCUCAGCAACACCUCCCUGCUCAGUGCUUGUCCCCAGAUGACCUCCAUCCUGUUCAUUUCUACCAUGUUUUAGGUCAGCAUAUGUGUGAUUAUUUGGAUUAUUUGGAUUGUGACUUUGGUGGUGUGGCUGUGGACUUUACCUUGGAGGAGUGGACUUUUCUGGACUCCUCUUAGAGAAACUUAUACAGAGACACAGUACUGGAGAACUACAAGAACCUGAGCACAAUGGUAGGUUAUCAACUCUCUAAAAUCCAGUCUGAUCUCAUGGUUGGAACAAGAAGAGUGAGGACAGUAGAGAGAGGUAGUCUUCAAGGUGAAUGUGAAGAACAUCCCUCAUCAGUGAGAAGUUCAGUAUGUUUGGAAAUGUAACGAGAAACUUAUGAGAGAUGAAAAAUACAAUUAAUGAACUGAAGAAUUCAAUAAAAAGCUUGAAAAGCAGAUAUGACCAUGCAGAAGAAUGAAUCAGUGUCCUAGACGACUAGACAGUUGAAAGUACUCAGAGCAGCAAAAAGAAAAAUGAAUGAAAAAGAGUGAGGAAAACUUACAGGACUUAAUAGGACAUAAUCAAAGGAAACAAUAUCUGCAUUAUGGAAAAUCCAGAAGAUUUAAAGCAAGGAUAACUAAAAAUUUCUCAAACCCAGAGAGAAAUGGACAUCCAGAUCCAUGAGACCCAUAGGACCCCCACUAGGUUGAACGUGAAUAGGGCUACAACAAGACACAUUAUAAUUGUCAAAAGUCAAAGACAAAGAAUUUUGAAAGUGGCAAGAGAAAAGAGAUAAUUUAUAUACAAGAGAACUCCCAUAAAUAAUGGGUGGAUUUCUAAACAGAAAUUUUUCAGGCCAGGAGUGAAUGGAAUGAUAUAUUCAAAAUAUUGAAAGAAUUAAAUUGUCAACCAAGACUUCUAUACCCAGCAAAGCUGUCCUUCAGAGAGAUAAAGACGCUUUUGACCAAUCAAAACCUGUGGGGAUUCGUCACCACUACACCUGCUUUACAAGAAAUACUAAAGGGAGUUAUUUGAAUGGAAGUAAAAGGACACUGACUGACAUAAAUACAUAAGAAGCUAGAGUAAAACUCACUGGUAACAGUAAAUAUAUAUACUCAAAGUUGGAUUCUGUAAUACGGUAAUGGUGGUACAUGAUUCACUUACAACUCCAAUAUAAAGUUAGAAAAUAUAGUAAAAAUAAAAACAAAGAAAAAAAUGUUGUAGCUAUAUCGGGUGAUGGAUGUUAACUAAACUUAUUGUGGUGAUCACAUCACAGUAUAUACAAAUACUGAAUUAUUGU